RNAcentral lists this long non-coding RNA (244 nucleotides) under Lathyrus oleraceus (garden pea). RNAcentral describes it as "Pisum sativum (pea) long non-coding RNA (PSAT_LNC042284)". The record is from RNAcentral. Lineage: Eukaryota; Viridiplantae; Streptophyta; Magnoliopsida; Fabales; Fabaceae.
UUUGAAUGAUGAUGGAUCUAUAAAAAAUAUUCUCAUCAAUUUAUUCUCAUCAAUCUAUAAAAAAUAUUUUCUAGUUUCUAAAAAUGCUGAAUUUUUUUUGUCAAACUUUGUUUGACCUUGUUGAACUUAGGAUGAUCAAUUUGGACUUUUCAAAGUUGAUUUGAAAUGGAUUUGAAGUUUGGCCUUUAAUUUUUUAUUUUAAUUCAAGUAUUAUUUUAAUUUUGAAAAAAUACCAAAAUGUUUA